RNAcentral lists this transfer RNA (76 nucleotides) under Lentisphaerota bacterium. RNAcentral's name for it is "Lentisphaerae bacterium (anaerobic digester metagenome) tRNA-Thr". It matches the Rfam family "tRNA". Rfam says of the family: Transfer RNA (tRNA) molecules are approximately 80 nucleotides in length. Their secondary structure includes four short double-helical elements and three loops (D, anti-codon, and T loops). The record is from RNAcentral. Lineage: Bacteria; Pseudomonadati; Lentisphaerota.
GCCAACAUAGCUCAGCUGGCAGAGCAGCGCAUUCGUAAUGCGCAGGUCGUGGGUUCGAGCCCCUCUGUUGGCUCCA